GGGGCUUCCAGAACCCAAACCAAGUCAGCAGCCCCCAGCCCCAGCCCCAGCCCCAGCCCCAGCCCCGGCCUCCCCUGUCUGAGGUGUCUGGGUUUAAUUUUCUGGUCAGUGCAGAAAGCAGGAGGAAGAGGACGAGGAGGAGGAGAAGAAAGGAGCGAGUUGAAGUUCUAAUGCAGUCGGCUGGGAUCUGUCACUCAGCGCACAGCCCGCUGACGACUCAGGGCAGCCCCAGCUGUAAGCAGCCCAUGAUUUAUGGACACCGAGUGAACUCCUGCGGCAGAAACCAGCCUUGAGAUCAGAGCGGCAAUAGGGCCCUUUUUUUGGCAGGAGACAGGGCCUGCAUUUUUCUCAUUCAUGCCAAACUGCUUUGCACGGCAAUUAGCUCUGUCCUCAUUUAGUCUCCAGUCCCAAAGGGUAAUGAAAGUCAUAUAUCAUCUUCAAGACUGCUAAUUAUUGAGCUCGCUUACAGUUGUCCGCCGACCGUCUGGAUUGUAAUCCAAACCAGCAGACUUCCGUGGGUGCGGUUAACUAAGGGAAGUUGUUUUUUGUGAAGAGAUUGCUCCGAUACAAGCUAAUAAUCCAUCAUAUCCAGAAGCAAAACAAAGAGCAUGGACUUCGGAGACAGACUUCCAGGAAUCGGAUCUCAGUUCCAUCAUUUACUUGUCCUGUGAUCAUGAGCAAGGGACAAGAGGGCUCCGGCGCGCUCUCCUCCCCAGGCCUGGGAAACAGGUUCUCAAGCGCCCUCCGACCUCCAAUCGAUCCCAGUCUCCCGCCUGCGACAGGGGAUGCUUGGAGAGCGAGGAGAGGGACGCGGGGAGCGGCACCUCCCCCAGGCCGAGGCUGGGCGGCCGAGUCCCGACCUGCGCCGCUCUGAGCAAAACGAAACUCAAACUCCCAAAAUUCUCGACAGGGGAAUUUUAAAAAUUCCCCACCCCCCUUUCCUUUCACUUUUAACAAACCAGCAGCUGGGGGAAAAAUUAAACGAAAUGAGCGAUAGCUAAGGACGCUAUCUUUCCAAACUGUGAAACCCCUUUAAAAAAUAUUUUCGAAGGCCAGCCCCACAACUGGCCAGCUCUUCUGAAGCCUAUGCCUCUUCCUGAAAAUCACAUCAAAACAGUCGGAAAUGCGGCCAAGGUCCUGGGAUGGAGUAGCCGAGAGGCCCAGAGAACCCGCUGCUGCUGAAACCGCCAUGCUCUUCUUUCUCUUUAACCAAAAAAUAAAAAAGAUAAUAAUAAGAAGUAAAACCUUUUAAUACAUCAAAUAUACGGAAUUUUAAUCUUUAAAGCGAUACAUUGUCUAUUUUAGUACAUGACGUAAACCUUACUUGUCCCCUUCUCAGCGGGUGGACUUAAAAAUUAAAAAUAGUUAAGUGUUCCUUUUAAAGAACAAAAUAAGGCAAAUGAGGUUUUGGAAUAGAAUUGUUUUUCCUUUUUUUUUUUUGUUUUCUUCCAGAAUACAUACAAAAAAAUACCCAUUCUCUUUCGAUGGUAUACACCUUAAAAAUAAUUGCAAUUUGAAAUCAGAGCUGACAAAUUGUGACUUGUUUUGUUUUUUUUUUUCAUUUUUUGUAACAAACAUGCAUGUAAAUUUGUGUUUCAAUCAGACAUUAAAUAAGAACGUACAAUACAAUCAUAGCAAUUUUAAAGUAACAUUAAAGAGAAGACCUC
Molecule: long non-coding RNA, 1667 nt
Filed under: Sus scrofa (pig)
Lineage: Eukaryota; Metazoa; Chordata; Mammalia; Artiodactyla; Suidae
Description: lncRNA (ENSSSCG00050025053.1)
Source: RNAcentral